UUUGAACGCACAUUGUGCCCCCCGGCAUUCCGGGGGGCAUGCCCGUUCGAGCGUCAUUGAACCCCCUCAAGCCUCUGGCUUGGUGUUGGGCCGCGUCCUCCCCCCGUGCUUUCGGGGGGGGGACGGGCCCGAAGACGAGUGGCGGUCCCGGGACAACCCCCGGGCGAUGGCACAUCUUUCCCGUGGGGCCCUCCCCUGGGCGCCUGCCAGCGAACCCCCUCCCCAGGGAACGCACACGGUUGACCUCGGAUCGGGUAGGGAUACCCGCUGAACUUAAGCAUAUCAAUAAGCGGAGGACAAGAAACCAACCGGGAUUGCCCCAGUAACGGCGAGUGAAGCGGCAGCAGCUCAAAUUUGAAAUCCGGCCUUCGUUCGGGGGCCCGAGUUGUAAUUUGGAGAGGGCGCUUCGGGGGCGUGUCGCCGGCCCAAGUGCCUUGGAACAGGACGCCUGGGAGGGUGCGAGCCCCGUACGCGGCCGGUGGCCGACCCCGCCCGAAGCCCCUUCGACGAGUCGAGUUGUUUGGGAAUGCAGCUCCAAGCGGGUGGUAAAUUCCAUCUAAAGCUAAAUACCGGCCGGAGACCGAUAGCGCACAAGUAGAGUGAUCGAAAGAUGAAAAGCACUUUGGAAAGAGAGUCAAACAGCACGUGAAAUUGUUGAGAGGGAAGCGCUUGCCCCCAGACCUGCCCGCGGGCGAUCACCCGCGGACCGCCCCCGGUCCGCGGGGCACGCGCCCGCGUCCAGGCCAGCACGGGUUCGGGCGGCGGGAGAAAGCGCCCGGGAACGUAGCUCCCUCCGGGGAACCUUAUAGCCCGGACGGCCAUGCCGCCCGCCCGGACCGAGGACCGCGCUUCGGCUAGGGUGCUGGCGUAAUGGGGGUCAGCGGCCCGUCUUGAAACACGGACCAAGGAGUCUAACGUCCCCGCGAGUGUUCGGGCGUCAAACCCCCGGCGCGGAAUGAAAGUGAACGGAGGUGGGAGCCCCCGGGGACCCGGGGGCGCACCAUCGACCGAUCCUGAUGUCUUCGGAUGGAUUUGAGUGGGAGCGCGGCCGUUGGGACCCGAAAGAUGGUGAACUAUGCCUGGGUAGGGUGAAGCCAGAGGAAACUCUGGUGGAGGCUCGCAGCGGUUCUGACGUGCAAAUCGAUCGUCGAACCUGGGCAUAGGGGCGAAAGACUAAUCGAACCAUCUAGUAGCUGGUUCCUGUCGAAGUUUCCCUCAGGAU
Molecule: ribosomal RNA, 1222 nt
Filed under: Leptogium delavayi
Lineage: Eukaryota; Fungi; Ascomycota; Lecanoromycetes; Peltigerales; Collemataceae
Description: eukaryotic LSU rRNA
Rfam family: Eukaryotic large subunit ribosomal RNA (bases 241-1222)
Source: RNAcentral